Molecule: ribosomal RNA, 254 nt
Filed under: uncultured bacterium
Lineage: Bacteria
Description: partial 16S ribosomal RNA
Rfam family: Bacterial small subunit ribosomal RNA
Source: RNAcentral
UACGUAGGCAGCAAGCGUUGUUCGGAGUUACUGGGCGUAAAGGGUGUGUAGGCGGUUAUUUAAGUUUGGUGUGAAAUCUCCCGGCUCAACCGGGAGGGUGCGCCGAAUACUGAAUGACUUGGAGUGCGGGAGAGGAAAGUGGAAUUCCUGGUGUAGCGGUGAAAUGCGUAGAUAUCAGGAGGAACACCGGUGGUGUAGACGGCUUUCUGGACCGUAACUGACGCUGAGACACGAAAGCGUGGGUAGCAGACAGG